CAAUAGCGUAUAUUAAAGUUGUUGCGGUUAAAGCUCGUAGUUGGAUUUCUGUUGGGAACGACCGGUCCGCCCAUUGGGUGUGCAUCUGGCUUGGCCUUGGCAUCUUCUUGGAGAACGUAGCUGCACUUGACUGUGUGGUGCGGUAUCCAGGACUUUUACUUUGAGGAAAUUAGAGUGUUUCAAGCAGGCACACGCCUUGAAUACAUUAGCAUGGAAUAAUAAGAUAGGACCUCGGUUCUAUUUUGUUGGUUUCUAGAGCUGAGGUAAUGAUUAAUAGGGAUAGUUGGGGCGAUUCGUAUUUAACUGUCAGAGGUGAAAUUCUUGGACCGUUUGAAGACAAACUACUAGCGAAAGCAUUUGCCAAGAAUGUUUUCAUUAAUCAAGAACGAAAGUUAAAGGUUCGAAGACGAUCAGAUACC
This 419-nucleotide ribosomal RNA is filed under the name uncultured eukaryote. RNAcentral describes it as "SSU rRNA". It matches the Rfam family "Eukaryotic small subunit ribosomal RNA", at positions 592 to 1016 of the family's 1831-position model. The record is from RNAcentral.